UUUAAGUGCAAUCAUAAGUUUCUGUGCUCAAUUUUAAUCGUUCGACUUAUUUGAAUUUUUUAUAAUUAGUAUUUUUAUUGUUAUGAGAUAAUAAGAUAUAAAUAGUACUUUAUACGUGACUUAUGUUUUAAAUUUUUUUAAAUAAGACGGACGAUCAAAGUCAUGCAUGAAAAAACAUGGCUGUACUUAAA
This is a microRNA precursor of Oryza sativa Japonica Group (Japanese rice), 191 nucleotides long. It matches the Rfam family "MIR812 microRNA precursor family". The record is from Rfam. Lineage: Eukaryota; Viridiplantae; Streptophyta; Magnoliopsida; Poales; Poaceae.